RNAcentral lists this long non-coding RNA (239 nucleotides) under Pelobates cultripes (western spadefoot toad). Lineage: Eukaryota; Metazoa; Chordata; Amphibia; Anura; Pelobatidae. The record is from RNAcentral.
CCAGACCAGCCCCCUCUGAUCCCCCCCAGGGGUCUGCCCACUGAGAAACAACUAGUUUAGAUAUAUGAGGGUGUUGGACUAUCCAGGGUUGUCAGUUAUUCAUUUUUCUUUUUGUCAGUAACUUCUAGGAGACCUAUACCAUCUAAGACUCCCACAAGAAUUCUAUAUGGGGUAAAUAUAUGUAAGGAAUUUCUUGUGUUUUCUCCUAUUUUAUUUUAUGUACUGUUUUGCAAUUUGUU